UAAGGAAUAUUGGUCAAUGGGCGGAAGCCUGAACCAGCCAUGCCGCGUGCAGGAAGACGGCCUUAUGGGUUGUAAACUGCUUUUGUCAGGGAAUAAACCCUCGUUCGUGAACGAGGCUGAAGGUACCUGAAGAAUAAGCAUCGGCUAACUCCGUGCCAGCAGCCGCGGUAAUACGGAGGAUGCGAGCGUUAUCCGGAUUCAUUGGGUUUAAAGGGUGCGCAGGCGGGCGUAUAAGUCAGGGGUGAAAUGCCACGGCUCAACCGUGGAACUGCCUUUGAUACUGUAUGUCUUGAGUUUAGUUGAAGUGGGCGGAAUGUAGCAUGUAGCGGUGAAAUGCAUAGAGAUGCUACAGAACACCGAUAGCGAAGGCAGCUCACUAAGUUAAAACUGACGCUCAUG
Molecule: ribosomal RNA, 399 nt
Filed under: uncultured bacterium
Lineage: Bacteria
Description: bacterial SSU rRNA
Rfam family: Bacterial small subunit ribosomal RNA
Source: RNAcentral